This 460-nucleotide ribosomal RNA is filed under the name uncultured bacterium. RNAcentral describes it as "partial 16S ribosomal RNA". It matches the Rfam family "Bacterial small subunit ribosomal RNA", at positions 338 to 795 of the family's 1533-position model. The record is from RNAcentral.
CCUACGUGGAGCAGCAGUGAGGAAUAUUGGUCAAUGGGCGCGAGCCUGAACCAGCCAAGUAGCGUGAAGGAUGACUGCCCUACGGGUUGUAAACUUCUUUUAUAAAGGAAUAAAGUGAGGCACGUGUGCCUUUUUGUAUGUACUUUAUGAAUAAGGAUCGGCUAACUCCGUGCCAGCAGCCGCGGUAAUACGGAGGAUCCGAGCGUUAUCCGGAUUUAUUGGGUUUAAAGGGAGCGUAGAUGGGUUGUUAAGUCAGUUGUGAAAGUUUGCGGCUCAACCGUAAAAUUGCAAUUGAUACUGGCAGUCUUGAGUACAGUUGAGGUAGGCGGAAUUCAUGGUGUAGCGGUGAAAUGCUUAGAUAUCACGAAGAACUCCGAUUGCGAAGGCAGCUUACUAAACUGCCACUGACAUUGAUGCUCGAAAGUGUGGGUAUCAAACAGGAUUAGAUACCCCGGUAGUC